This 492-nucleotide ribosomal RNA is filed under the name uncultured bacterium. Its description in RNAcentral is "partial 16S ribosomal RNA". It matches the Rfam family "Bacterial small subunit ribosomal RNA", at positions 29 to 507 of the family's 1533-position model. The record is from RNAcentral.
AGUGAACGCUGGCGGUAGGCCUAACACAUGCAAGUCGAACGGCAGCACAGUAAGAGCUUGCUCUUACGGGUGGCGAGUGGCGGACGGGUGAGGAAUACAUCGGAAUCUACUUUUUCGUGGGGGAUAACGUAGGGAAACUUACGCUAAUACCGCAUACGACCUACGGGUGAAAGCAGGGGAUCUUCGGACCUUGCGCGAUUGAAUGAGCCGGUGUCGGAUUAGCUAGUUGGCGGGGUAAAGGCCCACCAAGGCGACGAUCCGUAGCUGGUCUGAGAGGAGGAUCGGCCACACUGGAACUGGGACACGGUCCAGACUCCUACGGGAGGCAGCAGUGGGGAAUAUUGGACAAUGGGCGCAAGCCUGAUCCAGCCAUACCGCGUGGGUUAAGAAGGCCUUCGGGUUGUAAAGCCCUUUUGUUGGGAAAGAAAAGCAGCAGGUUAAUACCCCGCUGUUCUGACGGUACCUAAAGAAUAAGCACCGGCUAACUUCGUG